Molecule: RNA transcript, 1640 nt
Organism: Oryza sativa Japonica Group (Japanese rice)
Lineage: Eukaryota; Viridiplantae; Streptophyta; Magnoliopsida; Poales; Poaceae
Source: RefSeq, a predicted model, not a curated record
AUCCUAUCGCCGGCGAGUUGUGAGGACGAUGCGGCGUCAGGCUGAGGUGAGCGCCAUUCGUCUUCUCCACGCCGACCUUGUUCCGAUCGGCACCUCCUCAACGCCGCCACCUCAUCCGUCCAUACAGCGCCGCAGCCAUCGCCUCCCCGACUCCCGUCGUUGUCCACCCCGUCCCAUUCCACGACCGUCGUCCAUACCCCCCACCGCUGUGAAAUCUGCCGCGCAGAGGUAGGAGAUGGCAGAUGCGGUGGCAUCCAGGGCUCCCGGUGGUUCGACGACGGAGACAGCCUAUUCCCGGCGGCGGCGAGCUCGACGACGAGCAGAUCGGGAGGCUUGUCCACCACCUCGAGUGGCCCUCCAUGGGUGCCUCCCCUCCCCCAUGGAUUUGGUGGAAGCCAAGUCCUUUCACGUCGCCUCUGCGCCGGCUGUUGAUCCCCUCCACCCGGUUCAGCGGCGGAGACGGCGUGCUGAUUCGAUGGCUGGAUCUGCUUCAUGCAGCGGAGGCCCCGCCGCAUCCGUCGCACCGUGUCCAUCGCGGCCUGGGUAUCCCCCUACCCAGCGCUAAUAUCCUCGGCCCGCGCGACGAAUCCGAGAGAGGAAGCGCGACCAUGCGUCUUCUCCGUGUGCCAUAGGCGCAGGCGCAUUAUGCAGUGUUGUGACCGCCGACGGCAAGAAUGCGCGUCAAGGCGGCCAAGCCGUGUGGCGGGCGGUGGCUGUGUGCCUGCUUGCUGCGUGAGGCUUAGCCAGCUUGCUAACGAGCAGGGAUCUGGAGCAAGGGAGCUGUUAUUCUUGAUUCUUUGAUUUACGAUUGUUCAAUUGAGCAAACGAGCAGGAGUCCAACAAUUUUAUCUCAAAAAUGCAUGCUUGCUAACGAGCAGGAAUUUAGAGCAAGUGAACUAGUUUCCGACCUUGCUAUAUUUUUUAGAUAAAAUUGUUUGACUGUUUGUGAAAAUCAUAGCUAAUGUGCAUUUGUUUACUUCAGAGAUAAAAUUGAUGGAUCCAGUGUGAAAAUCCUAGCUCAUGUGCCUUUUUUUUCUCAAAUGUCAGUAUGGAGAUGUAAUAGACAUACCAUUCUGUAAAUAUAUCUUGGCAUUUUCCUGAUUUCCAGAUGUUAUCUUGGUUUUGUACUGCAUGAUUUAAUGUUCAGUAAUCUAUUCUUAUAUUCAGAAGUUCAGAUGAAUGGUAAGAAGACAUCAGGACCAUUAUAACAAGCUAGAAUAGUCAAGGAAUGGAUAUGAUGAUGAUGUUUUUACCAUCUAGACUAGGUGCUACAUGUAAAAUUGAUUUUGUGAUCAUAUGUCCUGGCAUUUUCCUGAUUUCCAGGUGAGGCUACUGAAUCCACAGUGGACCAAGCCGAUGAGACGGACUCCGACGCGGAUGCAGCUGGCAUGGGGAUUUGGUGUCGGCCGUGAGUCUCUGGCACCGGGGCUGGUGGUGGUGUUUGGAUGUAGUCAUCGGUUGUAAUUUUCCUUCUUUUAAGAUCACCAAGAAUAUAUAUAUUCUUGUCUUCCAUGUGUAAUUUCUAUUGAUCAUGUGACAAAACCAACAUACAGCUGUCAUGUGUAAGUUUCGAUGUGUAGUCAUUUCCAUGUGUAAGUUUCGAAAGCACCUGAUAGUAAAAAUACUACUAUCACCAAUAA